This 400-nucleotide ribosomal RNA is filed under the name uncultured bacterium. RNAcentral's name for it is "bacterial SSU rRNA". It matches the Rfam family "Bacterial small subunit ribosomal RNA", at positions 355 to 768 of the family's 1533-position model. The record is from RNAcentral.
CUGGGAAUCUUGCGCAAUGGGCGAAAGCCUGACGCAGCGACACCGCGUGUGGGAAGACGGCCUUCGGGUUGUAAACCACUGUGGAGGGGGAACAACACAAUGAGGGUACCCCUCUAGAAAGUACUUGCUAACUACGUGCCAGAAGCCUCGGUAAUACGUAGAGUACAAGCGUUAUCCGGAUUUAUUGGGCGUAAAGCGUAUCGCAGGUGGGUUUGUGCGUGGCGGGUGUAAUCCCCGAGCUCAACUCGGGAACCGCUCGUCAUACGGCAAAUCUUGAGUCUGUUGGAGGGAACUGGAAUUCUUCGUGGAGGGGUGAAAUCCGUAGAUACGAAGAGGAACGCCAAGGGUGAAGACAAGUUCCUACGGCAGCACUGACACUCAUGAACGACAGCUAGGGGAG